This 249-nucleotide ribosomal RNA is filed under the name uncultured Actinomycetales bacterium. RNAcentral's name for it is "partial 16S ribosomal RNA". It matches the Rfam family "Bacterial small subunit ribosomal RNA", at positions 84 to 334 of the family's 1533-position model. The record is from RNAcentral. Lineage: Bacteria; Bacillati; Actinomycetota; Actinomycetes; Actinomycetales.
GGGGUGCUCGAGUGGCUAACGGGUGAGUAACACGUGAGUAACCUGCCCUUGACUUUGGGAUAACUUCAGGAAACUGGGGCUAAUACCGGAUAGGAGCUCCUGCUGCAUGGUGGGGGUUGGAAAGUUUCGGCGGUUGGGGAUGGACUCGCGGCUUAUCAGCUUGUUGGUGGGGUAAUGGCCUACCAAGGCGGCGACGGGUAGCCGGCCUGAGAGGGUGGACGGCCACAUUGGGACUGAGAUACGGCCCAG